Molecule: non-coding RNA, 26 nt
Filed under: Rattus norvegicus (Norway rat)
Lineage: Eukaryota; Metazoa; Chordata; Mammalia; Rodentia; Muridae
Source: RNAcentral
UAUAAAGCAUGGUGUUUCUUUGUUCU